This 301-nucleotide ribosomal RNA is filed under the name uncultured bacterium. RNAcentral's name for it is "partial 16S ribosomal RNA". It matches the Rfam family "Bacterial small subunit ribosomal RNA", at positions 509 to 809 of the family's 1533-position model. The record is from RNAcentral.
CAGUAGCCGCGGGAAUACGUAGGGCGCAAGCGUUAUCCGGAAUUAUUGGGCGUAAAGAGCUCGUAGGCGGUUUGUCGCGUCUGCCGUGAAAGUCCGGGGCUCAACCCCGGAUCUGCGGUGGGUACGGGCAGACUAGAGUGAUGUAGGGGAGACUGGAAUUCCUGGUGUAGCGGUGAAAUGCGCAGAUAUCAGGAGGAACACCGAUGGCGAAGGCAGGUCUCUGGGCAUUAACUGACGCUGAGGAGCGAAAGCAUGGGGAGCGAACAGGAUUAGAUACCCGUGUAGUCCCUGUCUCUUAUAA